Molecule: non-coding RNA, 72 nt
Organism: Podarcis lilfordi (Lilford's wall lizard)
Lineage: Eukaryota; Metazoa; Chordata; Lepidosauria; Squamata; Lacertidae
Source: the annotation of a GenBank genome assembly
GGAGCUGUAGCUCAGGAGAAGAGCCCGUGCUUUGCAUGCAGAAGGUCCCAAGUUUAAUUCCUGGCAUCUCCA